RNAcentral lists this ribosomal RNA (572 nucleotides) under Aspergillus carbonarius. RNAcentral's name for it is "eukaryotic LSU rRNA". It matches the Rfam family "Eukaryotic large subunit ribosomal RNA", at positions 68 to 655 of the family's 3401-position model. Lineage: Eukaryota; Fungi; Ascomycota; Eurotiomycetes; Eurotiales; Aspergillaceae. The record is from RNAcentral.
ACCGGGAUUGCCUCAGUAACGGCGAGUGAAGCGGCAAGAGCUCAAAUUUGAAAGCUGGCUCCUUCGGAGUCCGCAUUGUAAUUUGCAGAGGAUGCUUUGGGUGCGGCCCCCGUCUAAGUGCCCUGGAACGGGCCGUCAGAGAGGGUGAGAAUCCCGUCUUGGGCGGGGUGUCCGUGCCCGUGUAAAGCUCCUUCGACGAGUCGAGUUGUUUGGGAAUGCAGCUCUAAAUGGGUGGUAAAUUUCAUCUAAAGCUAAAUACUGGCCGGAGACCGAUAGCGCACAAGUAGAGUGAUCGAAAGAUGAAAAGCACUUUGAAAAGAGAGUUAAACAGCACGUGAAAUUGUUGAAAGGGAAGCGCUUGCAACCAGACUCGCCCGCGGGGUUCAGCCGGCAUUCGUGCCGGUGUACUUCCCCGUGGGCGGGCCAGCGUCGGUUUGGGCGGCCGGUCAAAGGCCCCUGGAAUGUAGUGCCCUCCGGGGCACCUUAUAGCCAGGGGUGCAAUGCGGCCAGCCUAGACCGAGGAACGCGCUUCGGCUCGGACGCUGGCAUAAUGGUUGUAAACGACCCGUCUU